UCCAACAAAUAUGUAUUACUGUCUACUCUCAGCCAAGGAAGUGAUUUUGUGGAUAUGGCCUCAGAGACAGCAAACAAAAAUGUCUGCUCUCAUGGAGCUUAGUGAAGAAGGCAAACAAUAGCCCAGAAUGAUUGGGAAAAAGUGCUUCGUCAAUUUGGUGAUAAGGACCAAAAGAUCCAGAACCUUGAAGCCUUAUUACAGGAGAGUAAAGAAAAUAUUUCUUUCCUAGAAAAGGAAAGAGAAGAUUUUAUGCAAAAACUCAGGCUGGUGAAGGAGAGACCGCUGUUCUUAAUCAGUUGCAGGAAGAAAACCAUAUAUUACAGGAACAAGUAACUCAACU
RNAcentral lists this long non-coding RNA (340 nucleotides) under Sus scrofa (pig). Its description in RNAcentral is "lncRNA (ENSSSCG00070003842.1)". Lineage: Eukaryota; Metazoa; Chordata; Mammalia; Artiodactyla; Suidae. The record is from RNAcentral.